RNAcentral lists this ribosomal RNA (497 nucleotides) under uncultured bacterium. RNAcentral describes it as "partial 16S ribosomal RNA". It matches the Rfam family "Bacterial small subunit ribosomal RNA", at positions 28 to 507 of the family's 1533-position model. The record is from RNAcentral.
GAUGAACGCUGGCGGCGUGCCUAAUACAUGCAAGUCGAGCGAACAGACGGGGAGCUUGCUCCUCUGACGUUAGCGGCGGACGGGUGAGUAACACGUGGAUAACCUACCUAUAAGACUGGGAUAACUUCGGGAAACCGGAGCUAAUACCGGAUAAUAUAUUGAACCGCAUGGUUCAAUAGUGAAAGACGGUUUUGCUGUCACUUAUGGAUGGAUCCGCGCCGCAUUAGCCAGUUGGUAAGGUAACGGCUUACCAAGGCAACGAUGCGUAGCCGACCUGAGAGGGUGAUCGGCCACACUGGAACUGAGACACGGUCCAGACUCCUACGGGAGGCAGCAGUAGGGAAUCUUCCGCAAUGGGCGAAAGCUUGACGGAGCAACGCCGCGUGAGUGAUGAAGGUCUUCGGAUCGUAAAACUCUGUUAUUAGGGAAGAACAAAUGUGUAAGUAACUAUGCACGUCUUGACGGUACCUAAUCAGAAAGCCACGGCUAACUACGUG